This is a long non-coding RNA of Daphnia pulicaria, 536 nucleotides long. RefSeq lists it as uncharacterized. Lineage: Eukaryota; Metazoa; Arthropoda; Branchiopoda; Diplostraca; Daphniidae. The record is from RefSeq and is a predicted model, not a curated record. The transcript has 4 exons.
UGUGACUGUGGCCAGAAUCGACACUCUUGGGCUGGAAACUCACCUGGAUGAACGAAUAUAUUACGAAACAUUUCCAAACUGAGACAGAUCGGUAGGGCCCACGAUUUCCGGUUGCGGGACAAGAGUUUUUGAAACGUUUCCGGGUUGGCUUCGAUCAAAAUGCCGCUCCAGUUGAAUUUGCGUUCCAGGUCGAGUGUGUUGGACAGGAACUCGCCGUCGUGAGCGCCGCAAUCGGCAAAGAAUCCCUCCGUCUGGUAAUGAGCUUUAAAAUAACGCCAGUCUGGCCAGGCGAUCGAUCCUUGAUGUCGUCCGAGUCCAACAUGAGCGGAACCUGCGAAGACGGAGGUUGGUUCAAAUAAUGCCGCCGAAUAGUUUCAAUGACGCAUGGAUGAUCUUGCGCAACUUUGUUGGCAUUUAAAUAAUCUUAAAAUUGCAGUUAUACCCCAUCAGGUUCAAAGAAUAUACAAAUAAAUUCGAGUCCAUCCAUCAGCCAACUCUGUUUCCUCCAUCAAAUUGUAACUGCGAUUACUGCUGUG